UACGGAGGGGGCUAGCGUUGUUCGGAUUUACUGGGCGUAAAGCGCAUGUAGGCGGGUCGUUAAGUCGGGGGUGAAAGCCCAGAGCUCAACUCUGGAAGUGCCCUCGAUACUGGGGACCUGGAGCAGGUCAGAGGCGAGUGGAAUUGCGAGUGUAGAGGUGAAAUUCGUAGAUAUUCGCAGGAACACCAGUGGCGAAGGCGGCUCGCUGGGACUUUGCUGACGCUGAGAUGCGAAAGCGUGGGGAGCAAACAGG
RNAcentral lists this ribosomal RNA (253 nucleotides) under uncultured bacterium. RNAcentral describes it as "partial 16S ribosomal RNA". It matches the Rfam family "Bacterial small subunit ribosomal RNA", at positions 524 to 776 of the family's 1533-position model. The record is from RNAcentral.